RNAcentral lists this non-coding RNA (24 nucleotides) under Arabidopsis thaliana (thale cress). Lineage: Eukaryota; Viridiplantae; Streptophyta; Magnoliopsida; Brassicales; Brassicaceae. The record is from RNAcentral.
UCAGAUCUGGUGGAGAUGGUGUCU